This 400-nucleotide small RNA is filed under the name Mycoplasmoides pneumoniae M129. RNAcentral's name for it is "Mycoplasma pneumoniae M129 ncRNA". The record is from RNAcentral. Lineage: Bacteria; Bacillati; Mycoplasmatota; Mycoplasmoidales; Mycoplasmoidaceae.
ACCUUGGUUUUCGGUCCCUUCGGCUUUUUUACCUUGGUUAGGUGUGCCUUCAGCCUUCUUGCCUUGAUUUUGUGUGUCUUCAGUUUUUUUAACUUCUGUUUUUGUUUUACUUUUCGCUGCUUCAAUAGUAAAAGUGCCUAAAAGAUUGCCGUUAUCUUUACUGUUGCUUUGUUGCUGUCCACCUUCUUUUUGACUACUUUGACCAGGCGCAUGAAUUUCCUGGGUAAAACUAGGGUACUCAAUGAAAGUAUCGUCGUUGAACUUUAAACGUUUUGAAUUUUCACCAGCAAACGCAUAAGCAUAACCAGAAGAGGAGGAAAUGCUGUAGGCUAACUGGUGAAACUUCUGGAAGUUAGAGGUGUAAGAACCCCCUUUAUUGACAAACAAACCGUUGCUGUCU